RNAcentral lists this ribosomal RNA (2228 nucleotides) under human gut metagenome. RNAcentral describes it as "bacterial LSU rRNA". It matches the Rfam family "Bacterial large subunit ribosomal RNA", at positions 555 to 2856 of the family's 2925-position model. The record is from RNAcentral.
ACCUUGUGCUUACAAGCACUCAAAGCACGUUAAAGUGUGAUGAGGUACUUUUUGUAGAACGGUCCGGCGAGUUAUAGUAACGAGCAAGCUUAAGGUAUUCAGUACCGGAGGCGAAGCGAGAGCGAGUCUGAAUAGGGCGCAUAAAGUUCGUUGCCAUAGACCCGAAACCGGGUGACCUAACCAUGAGCAGGCUGAAGUGAGAGUAAAAUCUCAUGGAGGGCCGAACGCACGUUCGUUGCAAUGACCGGCGAUGACUUGUGGUUAGCGGAGAAAUUCCAAUCGAACUCGGAGAUAGCUGGUUCUCCCCGAAAUAGCUUUAGGGCUAGCGUUAUCUUAGAUUACCGGAGGUAAAGCACUGAAUGGGCUAGGGGGCGAUAAGCUUACUGAACCCUAUCAAACUCUGAAUGCCGGAUAAUUGAUGGCCAGCAGUCAGUCUACGUGAGAUAAGUCUCGUGGACAAAAGGGAAACAGCCCAGACCCACAGCUAAGGUCCCAAAGAUACGCUAAGUGGAAAACGAUGUGGAGUUGCGAAAACAACCAGGAUGUUGGCUUAGAAGCAGCCACUCAUUAAAAGAGUGCGUAAUAGCUCACUGGUCGAGUGACUCUGCGCGGAAAAUAUAACGGGGCUAAGCGUAACACCGAAGCUUGGGCUGCACAGCAAUGUGCGGGGUAGGGGAGCGUCGAAUAUGGGGUGAAGUCGCAGCGGAAGCAGCGGUGGACUGUAUUCGAGUGAGAAUGCCGGAAUGAGUAGCGAGAAUUAUGUGGGAAUCAUAAUGGCCGAAAAUCUAAGGUUUCCUGGGGAAGGUUCGUCCGCCCAGGGUAAGCCGGGAGCUAAGGCGAGGCCGAAAGGCGUAGUCGAUGCACAUACGGUUGAAAUUCCGUAGCCACCGAACCUUAAGUACACUGACACAUGGAGAUAGCGGGACCCGGGCGUUGGUUGACCCGGGCGUAAGGGACCGAACUUUAGUAGGGAAGUCCGCGAUGCUCUGUGGCGAGAAAAGGUGUAUGGUAUGCUAAGGUGCCCGUACCGCAAACCGACACAGGUAGAUGAGGAGAGAAUCCUAAGGCCAACGGGAGAAGGGUUGUUAAGGAACUCGGCAAAAUGACCCCGUAACUUCGGGAUAAGGGGAGCCUCCUACGGGAGGCCGCAGCGAAUAGGCCCAAGCGACUGUUUACCAAAAACACAGGUCUCUGCUAAAUCGAAAGAUGACGUAUAGGGGCUGACGCCUGCCCGGUGCUGGAAGGUUAAGAGGAGAUGUUAGCCGCAAGGCGAAGCAUUGAAUCGAAGCCCCAGUAAACGGCGGCCGUAACUAUAACGGUCCUAAGGUAGCGAAAUUCCUUGUCAGGUAAGUUCUGACCCGCACGAAUGGCGUAACGACUUGGGCGCUGUCUCAACAGCCCACCCGGCGAAAUUGUUGUACUGGUGAAGAAGCCAGUUACCCGCAACUAGACGGAAAGACCCCAUGGAGCUUUACUGUAGCUUAAUACUGGAAAUCGGUAAAUCAUGUACAGGAUAGGUGGGAGACUUGGAAGCCAGGGCGUCAGCUUUGGUGGAGUCACCCUUGGGAUACCACCCUUGAUUUGCUGGUUUUCUAACCUGCGGCCGUGAAUCCGGUCGGGGGACACUGUUAGGUGGGCAGUUUGACUGGGGCGGUCGCCUCCUAAAAGGUAACGGAGGCGCUCAAAGGUUCGUUCAGCACGGACGGAAACCGUGCAGUGAGUGUAAACGCAUAAACGAGCCUAACUGCGAGACCGACGGGUCGAGCAGUAACGAAAGUUGGAGUUAGUGAUCCGGCGGUAUGCAAGUGGAAGUGCCGUCGCUCAACGGAUAAAAGCUACCCUGGGGAUAACAGGCUGAUCUCCCCCAAGCGUCCACAGCGACGGGGAGGUUUGGCACCUCGAUGUCGGCUCGUCACAUCCUGGGGCUGUAUUCGGUCCCAAGGGUUCGGCUGUUCGCCGAUUAAAGUGGCACGCGAGCUGGGUUCAGAACGUCGUGAGACAGUUCGGUCCCUAUCUGUUGCGGGCGUAAGAGAUUUGAAGGGAGCUGUCCUUAGUACGAGAGGACCGGGAUGGACGUACCUCUGGUGCACCAGUUGUCCUGCCAAGGGCAUAGCUGGGUAGCUAUGUACGGACGAGAUAAACGCUGAAAGCAUCUAAGCGUGAAACUCCCCCUAAGAUUAGAUCUCUCAUUCGAAAGAAGUAAGGCACGACGUAGACUAUGUCGUUGA